RNAcentral lists this ribosomal RNA (207 nucleotides) under uncultured bacterium. RNAcentral's name for it is "partial 16S ribosomal RNA". It matches the Rfam family "Bacterial small subunit ribosomal RNA", at positions 568 to 774 of the family's 1533-position model. The record is from RNAcentral.
CGUGUAGGCGGCUCGUUAAGUCCGGUGUGAAACCUUGGGGCUCAACCCCAAGCCUGCACUGGAUACUGGCGAGCUCGAGUCCGGGAGGGGAGAGCGGAAUUCCUAGUGUAGCGGUGAAAUGCGCAGAUAUUAGGAAGAACACCGGUGGCGAAGGCGGCUCUCUGGAACGGUACUGACGCUGAGACGCGAAAGCGUGGGGAGCGAACA